This 440-nucleotide ribosomal RNA is filed under the name uncultured bacterium. RNAcentral's name for it is "partial 16S ribosomal RNA". It matches the Rfam family "Bacterial small subunit ribosomal RNA", at positions 338 to 795 of the family's 1533-position model. The record is from RNAcentral.
CCUACGGGGGGCAGCAGUGGGGAAUAUUGCACAAUGGGGGAAACCCUGAUGCAGCGACGCCGCGUGAAGGAAGAAGUAUUUCGGUAUGUAAACUUCUAUCAGCAGGGAAGAAAAUGACGGUACCUGACUAAGAAGCCCCGGCUAACUACGUGCCAGCAGCCGCGGUAAUACGUAGGGGGCAAGCGUUAUCCGGAUUUACUGGGUGUAAAGGGAGCGUAGACGGCAGCGCAAGUCUGGAGUGAAAUGCCGGGGCCCAACCCCGGAACUGCUCUGGAAACUGUGAAGCUGGAGUGCAGGAGAGGUAAGCGGAAUUCCUGGUGUAGCGGUGAAAUGCGUAGAUAUCAGGAGGAACACCGGCGGCGAAGGCGGCUUACUGGACUGUAACUGACGUUGAGGCUCGAAGGUGUGGGGAGCAAACAGGAUUAGAUACCCUUGUAGUC